This is a non-coding RNA of Acanthosepion pharaonis, 109 nucleotides long. The record is from the annotation of a GenBank genome assembly. Lineage: Eukaryota; Metazoa; Mollusca; Cephalopoda; Sepiida; Sepiidae.
CAUAAUCACGUUGAAGCACCGGUUCCAGUAGGAUCAAUGAAGUUAAACAACGUAGACUUUGGUCAGUACUUAGAUGGGUGACCGCUUGGGAAUACCAUGUGCUGCAAGC